GUGGCAAACAGCUAUCAGCAUCAUUUUUGGUCUCCGUGGUGAGCCUCUUCAGCUCUUCCAAAAGCCCUGAGAAGAUGUCGAGAAGCAGCAGGCCCUGGUCGUUUAUUGCGCUGCUGCUCCUGUUGUUUGUGCUCCUCCAACUCAUCACGGUGCUCGCUCACUCUCAUCAUCCUCAGCGCCGACCAUUUCCCUGUAAGCAAGCCUAGCUCACAAGUGCAUGCUUUAACUUGAGCCUAUCGUGCAGCUGUUCGAUCAAACACACAUGAACAAGCUGUGGUUUAUUCAUGGCUGAGUUCUCUUGUAAACUUGAACAGAGUGCUCUUUUUCAUACUCCUUCGGUACUCUCUCUCUCUCUCUCUGUUAACAAAUAAAAGACGUUUUAGAGACUUGACAAGUCCCUAAAACGUCAUAUAUCUGUUCACAGAGGUACUAUUAGUUUACCACUAUCUUACGCUGUGCUUUUGGAUCUAUGUGCAGGCCACCCUCUCCAUAAAAGGAGCUGCAAAUGAAGUCAGAAACAUCAGCGUUUGCUCCAUCUAGUUUCCCACGAAAUGAAAUAAAAAUAGGAAAGUACCCUGCUUGGGAUCCAACUGUUGGCCAGUUUGUUGGCAGUUACCUCAAAGAUCAGAUUAUUCAAAUGUGCUGACUACUUUGAUGUCAAUCAUGUACUUCUCUUUGGAGGAAUAAUAUUUGACAAUGUAUUUUCUUUCUCACAAUUUAUCAAUCUUGAUUGUGUCUUAAUUCUCGUGGUCUAUCUCCAUAAAAGCAGGCACACACCAAUUCAUG
This 786-nucleotide long non-coding RNA is filed under the name Hordeum vulgare. RNAcentral describes it as "long non-coding RNA (HVUL_LNC000041)". The record is from RNAcentral. Lineage: Eukaryota; Viridiplantae; Streptophyta; Magnoliopsida; Poales; Poaceae.